CGCAACUUGCGCCCUCUGGUAUUCCGGAGGGCAUGCCUGUUUGAGUGUCAUGUAGACUCAUCUAAUCGGGUUUCCGAUCAAGAUGGAUUUGGGGGUUUGCCUUUGUUGGCUCUCCUUAAAAGCAUUAUGCAGACGUAAUAAGUUUCGUCGUACGCAUAUUAAUCUAUAUUUGUACUCUGGCCUCAAAUCAGGUAGGGCUACCCGCUGAACUUAA
This 214-nucleotide unclassified non-coding RNA is filed under the name Bulleribasidiaceae sp. Its description in RNAcentral is "partial contains 5.8S ribosomal RNA, internal transcribed spacer 2, and large subunit ribosomal RNA". The stretch from base 1 to 50 matches the Rfam family "5.8S ribosomal RNA", at positions 105 to 154 of the family's 154-position model. The record is from RNAcentral. Lineage: Eukaryota; Fungi; Basidiomycota; Tremellomycetes; Tremellales; Bulleribasidiaceae.